Molecule: ribosomal RNA, 162 nt
Filed under: uncultured Bacillus sp.
Lineage: Bacteria; Bacillati; Bacillota; Bacilli; Caryophanales; Bacillaceae
Description: partial 16S ribosomal RNA
Rfam family: Bacterial small subunit ribosomal RNA
Source: RNAcentral
GAGGAGAAGUCUGAGGAGCACGCCGCGUGAGCGAUGAAGGCCUUCGGGUCGUAAAGCUCUGUUGUUAGGGAAGAACAAGUAUCGUUCAAAUAGGGCGGUACCUUGACGGUACCUAACGAGAAAGCCACGGCUAACUACGUGCCAGCAGCCGCGGUAAUACGA